This is a long non-coding RNA of Talpa occidentalis (Iberian mole), 1989 nucleotides long. RefSeq lists it as uncharacterized. The transcript is spliced from 4 exons. Lineage: Eukaryota; Metazoa; Chordata; Mammalia; Eulipotyphla; Talpidae. The record is from RefSeq and is a predicted model, not a curated record.
AGGCGGGUUCAGGCAGAUGCUCAUCACAGCCCAGCAGCCGACAUUCUAUGUGCACUUCCUGGACGGCGGAACCACCAAUCAGGUGUAAGCAAUGAUCUGAUUGGUGCUAAAUUGUCCAAUCAGCCACAGGACCGUUAAAAAAAACUGUCCAAUCAGACUUGUGGGUGGGGCACCCUGCGACGGGAUGGGGGCCGGGCCAGAGGGAGCUGAGGGACCCUGUUCCAGCUUUUGAAGGCAUUUCUGGCCUCCCAAGAAAUGAAAGACCAGCAGCCGACUUUGAAGCAAGAAAGAAGAAAUGAAGCAUCCAGCAGCCGAUCUCCCAGGAGCGAGGGAAGCCAAAGUCCUCUGGCAGAGGCUGGGCCUCCCGUCCUGUCUCUGCACCCCCGGACAGGAGAACGUUGUCUACUUUGGCAUUGUUGAGUUUAAAAUUUAAAGAAGCUGAAUAAAAACAGAGUGAAGAAUAAAAAAUAAUAGGAUGACAUAGUGGGUAAGGAGAAAUCAACGAGUUCACAAGAAGACACAAGAGAAGACCCCCCCAAAUGGCGUGUGAGGGAUGGAAAGAAACGACCCCACAAUUAAACCUUGUUGACUGGCCUCCAUGGGCUCCAAGGAGAGGAGCGGGGCUCCCCUUCAGGGACAGAUAUCUGGACAGCCCGACCUGGAGCUGCUCAGACUGGGGGUCUGGGACCUGGCUCCCUCCUCCUGCCUCCCAGACCUGGGCGGGGAAAUGGGGGUUUCAGUCCCAGAAAAGUUUACAAUAUGCUCUCAAACUACAUUGUAAGUCUCCAGGAAUAAAAACACACAGACCUUGGAACAUAAAGGAGAGCCCAGAAACCCCUUCCCCAGGAGCAUUCUCAGCCACUAAGAGGAGCCAGGAGCAAACACGGGGAACCUGCUUCCAUCAGCAGAGCCAGAAUGUGGGGGUCCCGCUCAGGCAUGAAACUGGACCCCUGGUAACUUCAUGCCCAAAAAUGAACCCCCAUGUUCCCCCAAUUCUCCACACCCAGCACUUCCUCCACUGGGUCCUCUGACUGGAUCCCCUCAGCCAUCAGCCACCCCCAGGAACAUGUUCCUCAAUUUCCCCUCCCUCCCUCGGGCUCACCUCCUCCACUGGGGUGCAGCCAGGGCCCUACUCCAAAGCACAGACGCCACCUAGCGCUGGCACUGGGUCCUGAAUGACCAGGUUCCCACCAGCAGGAACUUCACUCAGAGAACCCAGAAGGCAGCCAUGCCAGCACCUGAAUUUCUACAGCAGCAGCCAGACCCAGGAAAGUUGAAGAGGGCCCAGAAGACCAUGUGAUUUGAUCACUUGCGAUUUGAUCAGCUGUGGACCUUGCGGGGCUCUAUCUCCUGUGCUCAGAAGUUCACAACAAGGUGGAGACAGGGUCCACAACAGCAUUAUUUAUAAUAGCAUGGACACAGAAGCAGCCUAAAUGUCGAUAAACACAUGAUAGGGUCAGGAAGGCUGUAUAUCCACACCAAGGAGUGUUAAAGAGUCGGAAGAAAGGUGAAAUGCAGCCAUUUCUAACAAAAUGGAGACAAUUAUGUGCAGCAAGGUGCCAACUGCUAUAGCAAGUGUCAGACACUUUGGGAAGUACCCGGGCACAGAUCAGAGGAGGGAUGUGGAGCUGGGCCUUGGUGGAGAAUCAUUGGUCCUCAGAACCAACCUAGUCACAUCCUAGAAGUGAGCAGGUUAACAAAAGUCAACAAGUCCACAAAGGGACGGGCCCUUCUACAGAGAAGACUCCAGCAGGCAAUCUCUGUCCCUUCAGGGGCAGCUGCCUCCUGCCCGCCUGGGCCCAUCCAGGUGCUUCUCACUGCCAACCUGCUGCUUUACAGGCAGCAAAGACAGCUCCUCCCGAGGCUGCUGCUGGGGCCACACAGGCCCCUCUCAGCAAACCGGUCUCUUUGGGGGCAGCUCUUUCUGCCUGCUGCGUCUGUGCGGUGUCCUUGUUCUCACUCCCUUUUUAAUAAACCUGCCCUUCUGGA